UGGCACUCCAGAUGUUUUGAACUACACCUCCCAUGAUGCUGUGCCAGCAAUAUGGGUGUUAGAGCAUUAUGGGGGAUGAAGUCCAAAACAUCUGGACUGCCA
This 102-nucleotide microRNA precursor is filed under the name Pelobates cultripes (western spadefoot toad). The record is from RNAcentral. Lineage: Eukaryota; Metazoa; Chordata; Amphibia; Anura; Pelobatidae.